GACGAACGCUGGCGGCGUGCCUAAUACAUGCAAGUCGAGCGGACGAAUCGAAAGCUUGCUUUUGAUUCGUUAGCGGAGGACGGGUGAGUAACACGUGGGCAACCUGCCCUGUAGACGGGGAUAACACCGAGAAAUCGGUGCUAAUACCGGAUAACACGAAAUGUCGCAUGACGUUUCGUUGAAAGACGGCGCAAGCUGUCGCUACAGGAUGGGCCCGCGGCGCAUUAGCUAGUUGGUGAGGUAACGGCUCACCAAGGCGACGAUGCGUAGCCGACCUGAGAGGGUGAUCGGCCACACUGGGACUGAGACACGGCCCAGACUCCUACGGGAGGCAGCAGUAGGGAAUCUUCCGCAAUGGACGAAAGUCUGACGGAGCAACGCCGCGUGAGCGAAGAAGGCCUUCGGGUCGUAAAGCUCUGUUGUUAGGGAAGAACAAGUAACGCAGUAACUGGCGUUACCGUGACGGUACCUAACGAGAAAGCCACGGCUAACUACGUG
RNAcentral lists this ribosomal RNA (498 nucleotides) under uncultured bacterium. RNAcentral describes it as "partial 16S ribosomal RNA". It matches the Rfam family "Bacterial small subunit ribosomal RNA", at positions 28 to 507 of the family's 1533-position model. The record is from RNAcentral.